This 405-nucleotide ribosomal RNA is filed under the name uncultured Rhizobiaceae bacterium. Its description in RNAcentral is "bacterial SSU rRNA". It matches the Rfam family "Bacterial small subunit ribosomal RNA", at positions 354 to 776 of the family's 1533-position model. The record is from RNAcentral. Lineage: Bacteria; Pseudomonadati; Pseudomonadota; Alphaproteobacteria; Hyphomicrobiales; Rhizobiaceae.
GUGGGGAAUAUUGGACAAUGGGCGCAAGCCUGAUCCAGCCAUGCCGCGUGAGUGAUGAAGGCCCUAGGGUUGUAAAGCUCUUUCACCGGAGAAGAUAAUGACGGUAUCCGGAGAAGAAGCCCCGGCUAACUUCGUGCCAGCAGCCGCGGUAAUACGAAGGGGGCUAGCGUUGUUCGGAUUUACUGGGCGUAAAGCGCACGUAGGCGGAUCGAUCAGUCAGGGGUGAAAUCCCAGAGCUCAACUCUGGAACUGCCUUUGAUACUGUCGAUCUGGAGUAUGGAAGAGGUGAGUGGAAUUCCGAGUGUAGAGGUGAAAUUCGUAGAUAUUCGGAGGAACACCAGUGGCGAAGGCGGCUCACUGGUCCAUUACUGACGCUGAGGUGCGAAAGCGUGGGGAGCAAACAGG